GAUGAACGCUGGCGGCGUGCCUAAUACAUGCGAGUCGAGCGAACAGACGAGGAGCUUGCUCCUCUGACGUUAGCGGCGGACGGGUGAGUAACACGUGGAUAACCUACCUAUAAGACUGGGAUAACUUCGGGAAACCGGAGCUAAUACCGGAUAAUAUAUUGAACCGCAUGGUUCAAUAGUGAAAGACAGUUUUGCUGUCACUUAUAGAUGGAUCCGCGCCGCAUUAGCUAGUUGGUAAGGUAACGGCUUACCAAGGCAACGAUGCGUAGCCGACCUGAGAGGGUGAUCGGCCACACUGGAACUGAGACAAGGUCCAGACUCCUACGGGAGGCAGCAGUAGGGAAUCUUCCGCAAUGGGCGAAAGCUUGACGGAGCAACGCCGCGUGAGUGAUGAAGGUCUUCGGAUCGUAAAACUCUGUUAUUAGGGAAGAACAAAUGUGUAAGUAACUAUGCACGUCUUGACGGUACCUAAUCAGAAAGCCACGGCUAACUACGUG
Molecule: ribosomal RNA, 497 nt
Filed under: uncultured bacterium
Lineage: Bacteria
Description: partial 16S ribosomal RNA
Rfam family: Bacterial small subunit ribosomal RNA
Source: RNAcentral